Molecule: non-coding RNA, 3006 nt
Organism: Nicotiana tabacum (common tobacco)
Lineage: Eukaryota; Viridiplantae; Streptophyta; Magnoliopsida; Solanales; Solanaceae
Source: RefSeq, a predicted model, not a curated record
GUACAGGCCUACUUUAUAUAAAAUAAAAACUUGGCAAAGAUAGCAACGAAGGAAAGCUUUGAAGAUUUAUCAAUAUCAACAUCAAAGAGGUAAGAGAAAGCUUCUUCUGAUUUCAGUAAUAGAACCAUUUCCUUAAGUCCACAAUGUUUGCUGAAAUAAAAGCUUGAUUGAUAUCCUAGUUUGAAAUGGAUUCUUCUGUUGACAAGAAUUAGCCCCAAAUUUAACGGGAUUGGGGUUGUGAGAAAGCUUCCUUUAAGUACUGUUUUGAUAUUCUGGAGAAGAAAAUGAUUUUCAUUGCUUAGGCAUUCGCUUAUCUGUGUUCCCAGCGGCCUUAAUCAUGAUUUCCGCAGAUUCUUGUUUUAUGUAUUUAUUUGAUUUUUCUAUAUAAAAACAAGUCUAUACAAGCAAACAUGCAAUUUAGCAAUACAUGACAUGUUAUAUGAAUGAAAGGGAAAAGAUUAACGGACUAUUGCUAUUCUUCCCAUAGCGACAAAGCGAGUCACUCAUGAUUCGAUAGUUCCAUUUUCCGCUGAUGCAUCCCGAUGAAAUCCUAGCAGUCAAACCAACGUAUUUGUUCCGCACCCUCCUUCCAAUCAAAUCUUUCCAAGGUGUCCGGAGGCAGGGGAAAGAAAGGAGGGAUUGAGCCCCAGGUGCUAGACCGAACAUAAGUACAAGUCCAAAAUCAUCGUACGAACCUAUAGGAACCUUCAAAUCAUGAUUCUCAAUCCGUUUAGCUCAAAUGUUGACUUUGGUCAACUCUCUGAAGUUAAGGCUUUAAGUUAGCAACCAAGUGUAACGCCGCUAAGGCUUCAAGUUAGCAACCAAGUGUAAAGCCGUUAACUUUUAUGUAGGAUUUUCAUUUUAUAUGGAUAUUAAGUGUUUGAUUUUUGAAAUACAAGGGGUGUGUCUAUAACGCAGUCAUAUUAUAAGGGUGUUUAAAUUUAAUUUGCUCAAGAUUAAACCCUUCCUUUUUGUUAUGAACACAUGUGAUUAAAUAAUAAGAAGUUAAAAUAUUUGAAUUUUCACCUUUCUUCUCUGUAUUCUUCAGCUCGCUUUUGGUCACGCUUUAGAAAGUUCUGUUCUUUGCAUUCCAUUCACUGGUAUACUGAUAAAUUGCAUUCUAUGCACUGAUUUGGUGUUCUUAUGUUCUGCUUGUGCUAUUAAUUUCGUUAUAAAAUUACCAGUAAUGUUGAAACUAUACAUCAAUUCUGUGGCCUUUUAUCUACUUUCUGUUGAAGUAAGAUGGAUGAUCUGAUGCCUCCUGCCCCCUUUAUUAAGCGCCGGAAGGUAACAUACUUUUAAACUAUAGGUCUACCUCCAACACUUUUUAUUCCACUCCUAGGCUAAUGUAUAAAGUUUUUUUUUUCUUUUUAAAUGCAAAAUCUCUGCAAGUGUGGGAUUGACGAGUGACGACUUGCCUGAUGAGUUGCUUAUUGCCAUACUUUCCUGUUUGAACUUCCACGAGGCAGCAAAGACCUGUAUUCUCUCGCAGCACUGGAGAUACUUAUGGGAACAUACAAUUUGCAGAAUUGAAUUAUAUAAUGACGACACAUUUGAAAUUGAUGCAGCAGAAAAGUUUAUAAAUUCGGUGAAUGAUGCCUUUGAAAUUUCAUGAGGGUGCAUUUAUUGAGUGGUUCAAAUUUGGUUUUGUCUACCCAAGUGUACUCCCCCCUACAGCAGUACUGAUUUUGCAACAGUAAAUCAAGGCCAAGUCGAGUGUGAUAUUGAUUGCUGGAUUAAUGUUGCAAUACAAAAGCAGGUCAAAGUAUUUGAACUGAACCUGGCAGCAGGUAAUGUGUGCAGUGAAUUUGAUAUGACAUAGCAUUCCUCAUGUGCAAAAGUUGUUGCCCAUUUGUUGCGAGAUUAAUUUGCUGAGAAUAUUGGCGACUCUCAAAUCUUUCCAAUUUGUUAAUGUCCGCAUAACACGGGAAGUUGUUGAGUUCCUUUUGUCCCACUGCCCUUUACUGGAGGAAGUCUGUAUUUCAACCUCAGAUUCUCUUGAGAGUUUGAAAGUUGCUCGUUCAUUAUCUAAGUUAAGGUCCAUGGAAAUAUCAAAUUGUGAAGCUUUAAUUUGAAGACUAUGAAGGUUCAUGCUCCAGAGCUUGUGUCUUCUACAUACAUUGGACGUACUAUUAAAGUGCCUUUCAAGAAAGUUCCCCUCUUCUCUCAGCUAACUAUUGGAGGAGAUUAUGUGAUUCUUUUAUUUUUGAUGCUCACAAGCACUCUAGCUAUUGUCGAAAUCUGAAGAAGCUUAAACUGGAAGUGUCAUAAGAGUUAUCUAGGAAAUGCUGGGUCAUUCCCAAUGUAUACCCUCAACUUUGCUACUGAAAGAGUUGGAAUUGGACAUCGCCACAGAAGAGGGUGAUGGCCUUUGCUUCUUCACAUUCUUGACUAAGUGUUCUUCUCAGUUAUCAAGUUUAACCAUCCAGGUAACCGUUCUUCUUGCAUUUGCUUCUCCUUUAUGCCAUGCCACUUUCUUGCCUUCUAUAAGUAUAAGUUAUUUGACAAAAAGUCUUAACAAUGUCAACCUAACAAGUUCUUUGAAAUAAUAAAGCAAAUCUUAAGAAGUUCUAAGAUGGAACAAGUUACCAUAAAAUCAUGACACAAUUAAUUGGUGCGUCCUCCUUAUACAUGGAAUGUGAUACAUUUUUUAAUAAAGAAUACAUGUAUUGGAAAUCGAUAAAGCCUAUAACACCAGAAGAAUGAUUAUUGUACAAUAUUGAGGUUGAUGAAGGAAAUUUAAAAUGUUUAUGCCAAUAGUAAAUUACUCUCGAGAAGGUUGAUAAGGAGUAGCAUUUAAGUAAAGGUCACCCUUUCUAGCAAUAGUUAUUCCCGAUAAUUCGGUCAAGUCCAAGUCUCUUGGCUUGAUUCCGGUUGGGAGUUUCCAGUCAAAGUGAUAGAGUAAUUGAGCCAAUGGUAAGUAAAGAUUAGCUAAACCAAAUGACAUUCCAGGACAAAUUCUCCGUCCCCCGCCAAAGGGAAGAAACUCAAAAUUAUUACCAAAAA